CAAAGAGGACACUUUCCAAACCUGAAAAUCUUGGCCUGGGCACUUUCACCUGCGACAUCCAUGAUGCUGUUGCUACUCUUUCUCCCUCUGCUGUCCUUCCUGUCUCCCUCUCCCUGUGCAGAUUUUUUCCAGAUUUCCUCUCCGUGGGAGAAUCCUCUGGAGUUUGUUUCACUGUUCUUUUCUAUUUCAGGGGCGGGUGGAGGUCAGCACCAGUGAGGAAUGACACCGUUUUAUAUAAGGGAUCUGAGCAUUAGAUUUUGGCAUCCCCCACAUAUACUAGGGAAUGAUUUUAUUUCCCCAGAAAUCAAGCCGAGCCUCCCUUUUUUUUUUAAGCUUUAUUUUUUAAAAAUGUAUUUAUUUAUUCUAAUUUAUUAUACAGGGCAGCAGAAUGCGUUUCAAUCCACAGUACACAUAGAGAGCACAAUUUUCCCUCCCCUCCCUUGCUCUCCGCCUCUGCUUGCAGGGCCCUGGGCCUUUCUGCGCCUCCUCCCUCACUUCCUUGACCUCCCCAGUCCCGGGGACGUCCCAGUCCUGAGCAUCUCUGUCACUCAGGCACAGCCACUCCCUGGGUCUCCUGGCCCUGAGGGAGGCCCCACCCUUGCCCUUCCUCAGUUUAUUCCUGCUAAGCCGCUUCUUUGCCUUCACCUGGGACCCUGGAGCCUCUCCUCUGUUUUUGGCAUCUAGGACCCAUCCUGGCUGUCUCUACCCCUCCCUCCCUCUCAAGUUUGGAUUCCGUGGUGAGCUGAUUAGGCCAGGUUCUCAAAAAGCACCUCCCUUCUUCCCCUUUGACCUCCCACUGCCUCUCUUCGGACCGCACUUUCUCCUCCUCCUGAUCCCAAACUGCUGCAUCCCGCUGAGCACCCCGGGGUAAUCGGACCCCCUGUGCGUUCCUGCCCUGGACUCUCCCGGAGCCCCAGGGCAUCUUCCCUCAACUCCAUUUUUAGCUCCCUAUCGGAUUCCCACGACAGCUGCUCGGAGGCUUUUCCACUCUGCCCAAGCCCGAGCUGACCCUGUCCCCCUCUCCCCGGAACAGACCUCUUCCCGGCAUGGACUGAGAAAGCCCUCCCUCCACAUCCCAUUUCUUUCUACCCCCCUUUGCCCCCUAAACAGGAGUAAUUUC
Molecule: long non-coding RNA, 1120 nt
Filed under: Marmota monax (woodchuck)
Lineage: Eukaryota; Metazoa; Chordata; Mammalia; Rodentia; Sciuridae
Source: RNAcentral